Long non-coding RNA from Manis pentadactyla (Chinese pangolin), 190 nucleotides. RefSeq lists it as uncharacterized. The transcript has 2 exons. The record is from RefSeq and is a predicted model, not a curated record. NCBI's taxonomy places the organism in Eukaryota, Metazoa, Chordata, Mammalia, Pholidota, Manidae.
GUUAGAAGUAACAUGCCUGAGGAUAAUGGGCUUCCUUGUGUUACUUCUGGUACUCAGAAGUGGAAUGGGGCUAUUCCUAGUUUUAUGGCCAUAGCCACAGUGAUAAUGGUCGAUGUAACACAAGGAAGCCCAUUAUCCUCAGGCAUGUUACUUCUAACCUGACAAAAGAUCGCACCAAUCUCAGUCCUAU